Molecule: unclassified non-coding RNA, 96 nt
Organism: Colobus angolensis palliatus
Lineage: Eukaryota; Metazoa; Chordata; Mammalia; Primates; Cercopithecidae
Rfam family: Y RNA
About the family: Y RNAs are components of the Ro ribonucleoprotein particle (Ro RNP), in association with Ro60 and La proteins. The Y RNAs and Ro60 and La proteins are well conserved, but the function of the Ro RNP is not known.
Source: Ensembl
AACUGGUCUGAUGGUAGUGGGUUAUCAGAAUUUAUUAACAUUAGUGUCACUAAAGUUGGUAUACAGCCCUCCACUGCUAAAUUUGACUGGCUUAAA